ACUGUCCCACGACCUCUGUCUCUCUCCGAAAAAGAGAAAAUCCCCAAAUCAAAUCCAUUGAAUCGAUCUACCCUAAACCACAAACCUAAAGCGAAAUCGCCCACAUUCCAAAUCCUAAGCACAACCAAGCAGUUCUUCGGCUGCACUUCCAAAAGGGGUAACACCACGCCGUACUUUCGUCUUGGGUUUUGUUGUCGCUUGACCUCUCAUAUCCGGUCCCCAUCGAAACCACCACCAUCUCCGACCACAGUUGUCGUCGUGGUAUCGCCGCUCUGCCUCGCGACUUUGCACGCCACCACAGAAGAACCGGUCAGCUUGUUCUCCGUCCCGGAACGCCACGAAAUUAAUAUCAUUUUUCAGCUUUGCUCAGGUAGUAUGUUGUCUAUUUUAUCACAUGAGAAAUUUGUAUUCCAUCGACUUGUUGAACUGGGGCUUUCGACAAAUUGGUAUGCUGUCUAACUUGAUGUGCUUUUCAAGCCGUAAGCCUCAUACAGCUUUCCAAAACAAUGUUGCCCGGGCAAUAGAGCUUGAGUGUCUUUUCCAUGCUACCAUUUGUGUUUUUCUUUUUUUAGUCUUUUUGUUGGCUAUGACCUAUUGCCAUACACGUUGGUCAAAUGUUGCUUUCAUGUUUCUUAAGCUUCAUUUUAGUUGUAUUGGUUAUAGUUCAUUUACCUUUAUAGUAUUUGGUUUGAAAAAUGAUUUCAUUUUAGUUUUCAAUAAUCCCCACUAUGAAGAAUCUCUCUCCUUUUCGUUAGAAUUUGAAAUUUGUAGUCUAUUGACUUAUGGCUUCUUGAUGAACAGGCGUUGAAUGUUUGACAUUGAUAUGGAGCAACAAAAAGUGUCGGUGAAAGGCAAUGUCCAGCCAGAAGCAUUUCUGCACUGUUUCAAAGACUAGGAAGGUGACUUCUUUCUAGGAAGCACCCCCUUAAGAUGUUGCUUAAUAUCCUCAUUUGCUACUCUGGAUGUUCUCAGCAAACUGAUUUUGUAGAUGAGAAGUCACUGCCAGAUUAACUUUCGAUGUUCUCAGCAAACUGAUUUUGUUAUCUGCUGUUGAAUGUGUUGUAUUUAAUUAGCUUAUGGGAGGACUUCCAAUUUCACUUUUGAUUAGCUUAUGGGAGCACUUCCCGUUCUUAGCAAAAUUAUUGUCUUUUAUUUGCCCUUUGUUCUUACUAAUAUUUCAGUGCUGAAGUUUUGACUGUUUCCAC
This 1205-nucleotide long non-coding RNA is filed under the name Olea europaea (common olive). RNAcentral describes it as "long non-coding RNA (OEUR_LNC007849)". The record is from RNAcentral. Lineage: Eukaryota; Viridiplantae; Streptophyta; Magnoliopsida; Lamiales; Oleaceae.